AAAAAGUUCACUUGGUUAAUAGGCUUGAGGGAAAGGGAGAAGUGCUGGGAGAACUUAAUGAUGACUUAAUGUGAGAAGGCUAUUGAAUUUCUGGGACAUUGUUCACAGAAUUAUCUACACUGUUUGAAGGGGUCACUGCAAACUGGUUCCACCUGGCUGCAAACAGCUGUGCUGGUGAAAAAUCUUGUACUAUUGAACAAAUACAUCCUCCCCAGUAAGGGUGACAACCCUUUGGACUCCGGUGGAAGAUAUCCAGAAAACAGGAAACAACAAGGAAUUAAUUCUCCAGUUUUGUUCCUGUGAAUCUCCUACAUUUAUCAGUAAAUUACUGAGACUGGCAGCCUAAUUCUUCUGGUACUUUUUAAAGAAAAUAUCUUUCCAAACAAGAAAAAAAAAAAAAGGAUCACUGAGGAACCUUCAGGUAGCU
This 427-nucleotide long non-coding RNA is filed under the name Zonotrichia albicollis (white-throated sparrow). RNAcentral's name for it is "lncRNA (ENSZALG00000015167.1)". The record is from RNAcentral. Lineage: Eukaryota; Metazoa; Chordata; Aves; Passeriformes; Passerellidae.